CCUACGGGAGGCAGCAGUGGGGAAUAUUGGGCAAUGGGCGCAAGCCUGACCCAGCAACGCCGCGUGAAGGAAGAAGGCCUUCGGGUUGUAAACUUCUUUUCUCAGGGACGAAGCAAGUGACGUUACCUGAGGACUAAGCCACGGCUAACUACGUGCCAGUAGCCGCGGUAAUACGUAGGUGGCAAGCGUUAUCCGGAUUUACUGGGUGUAAAGGGCGUGUAGGCGGGAAAGCAAGUCAGAUGUGAAAACCAUGGGCUCAACCUGUGGCCUGCAUUUGAAACUGUUUUUCUUGAGUACUGGAGAGGCAGACGGAAUUCCUAGUGUAGCGGUGGAAUGCGUAGAUAUUAGGAGGAACACCAGUGGCGAAGGCGGUCUGCUGGACAGCAACUGACGCUGAGGCGCGAAAGCGUGGGGAGCAAACAGGAUUAGAUACCCCUGUAGUC
This 443-nucleotide ribosomal RNA is filed under the name uncultured bacterium. RNAcentral's name for it is "partial 16S ribosomal RNA". It matches the Rfam family "Bacterial small subunit ribosomal RNA", at positions 338 to 795 of the family's 1533-position model. The record is from RNAcentral.